Molecule: non-coding RNA, 4417 nt
Organism: Delphinapterus leucas (beluga whale)
Lineage: Eukaryota; Metazoa; Chordata; Mammalia; Artiodactyla; Monodontidae
Source: RefSeq, a predicted model, not a curated record
UGAGGGGAGUUGUGUCUCCUCAGGCACUGCCGGGGCUGCGCCUGGGACGCUGGGCUCAGCGUCUGUGCUGACAGGAGCUCGGUCUCCUCAGGACUCGCUGGGGUUUCGGCUUCAGGACAACGUGGGGCUGCGUCCACGCUGACGGGAGCUGGGUUUCCUGAGGACGCAGGCGACGCCGGCGGAAAAGGGUCGCAUAGGACACGGGGUCAUCAUGUCUGUUUAGUCUUCUCUGGGCUCUGACAGUUGCUCAGACUCUCCUUGUUUCCAUGACCUUGACAGCGUGGAGGAGGGCUGCUCAGGUAAUCCACAGGACCCACGACAUGGUAGCUAACUAACAUACUCUUCCCACGGUGCCUGUUAAUACCAUGUGGACUCCUACAAGGGAAUCUCAGAUUUACCUGACGGCCACCACUCACAGUUCCCGCAGAGCCCAGAGAUUUCUCCUUGAAGGAAAGGUUCUGGAAAAUCAGAGGGAUAAAUAAAGGAUGCAGCUGAUUCCCGCCUUGUGCUGACACCCAAGAGUGUGAGGAGAGCCACGAGGCAUGUGGGAUCUUAGCUCCCCACCCAGGGAUCAAACCAGCACCCCCUGCAUUGGAAGAUGAAGUCUUAACCACUGGUCUGCCAGGGAAGUCCUCACAUUCCUGUAUUGUUGAACUUGAAUUUCUGAGCUAUGUCAGACUUGGGAUGCCACUAGCCAUUUUCAAAACAAUGUCUGCUGGUAGCUGCAACUAGUUUUCAGAUUGCUUUCCCCACAGGUCCGUGGGCAGCAAAUAAACCCACCCAUGCUGAAGCGGCAGCUGAAAGUCCUAAAUGGUUUGGUGAGUAACAGUCAGGAGCCAAGAACACUCUGUGCCAGGAGAGCCUGUGUUGCUAACAAAGCAAUUAGUAGCCCUUCCCUGGUGCAGAGUGUCAUCGUCAUGCUUUAUCCAAUUACUCAGAAUAUAUCAGAAGCAAAGCGCCAGUGUUAUUUUACGAAGAAUUAGAAUCCUAAACUACAAGUUACAAGGCUGUUCUCUGGUUUACUCUCCCAUGUGGAGGGUUGGCUGAGGCCACGGAAGUGAAUGUGGUCUGCUUGCCUGGUUUCAAACGUAGCUUCAGACAAAAAUAAAGAUACUCAUUUGUGGACAACAUGAAUGUUUAUACCUUUCAGUGACUCAUCUUUGCCAUCCUUCCAAAAGCUCGAUACAUUUAAGAAAUGUUAGCUACACUGUCAUAGUUAUAUAAAAGGUAACUAAGAUUAAGAGAUCAGAUGCAGGGUUGGUGUGGGGAGGAAUGAUGCCUAUGUAUGUAUGGUCACAUUUUUAAGUGGAAGAAUUAAAAAGGGGAACUAUAACUUUCACGUCUUACCCAAACAGAGGUUUCUGCAGACAUCAAUAGAACUCUUAUUUUACUAGCAAUGCAGUUGAGCACAUAUAUUAACACUAAAAGGGUUGAAAGGAAAAAGGGGACAGCACUGCUUUGCACCCAUUAACAAUGUGAUAUCAAAAUGGAAACAUACGUCUUUUAGGAUGAAAUCUAAUAAAUAAUUGAGAACCACUGUGAUGCCUGACACUUUACUACCAAAUACUCACAUCUAACAGUUUUUAGAUUGUCUAUCAGAAGAUAAACAUAUACCCAAAAAUAGACCUGAUUCACCUAGAUUUGAGAUACGAAUUCAUCUUCUCUUUGCUAAUUAAAGGGAAAGAACAAGGUAUUUCUUACCUGCACGUGAUUUCGUGUGUGGGCAAGACUCGGCGCAUCUCUGGGUUCUCGUCUUGGCCUUCAUACGCUACGGCCUGUAAACAAAGGCACGAUUUGGGCUAAGAAUGGAACCAAGUAGCAGAGGACAAACUACCACAAUCGAGUUCUUGACCAUUCACCAGUGCUGCAAGGCCAACUAGCUUUCAGAGCCAAAGGCCUCACUGGGCUGAUUGUUUUAAGACAGUUGUUAAGGAUCAACCCAAAUUGAGUGGAAGGGGAUAUGUUCCUCUCUGUCCCAUCAACCACCUUAUUAUAAUGCACAUCUUUGGAUCCUUGUAUGAGAUGGGCUUCUGUCAUCAAGACAACCACAGUUCUCUCUUCAGUUCAGAAUAAAAAUAAAUCUAAUCAGUGGGGAAGGAAAAACCCAGAAGGCUUAGCAGACUGAGAUACUAGUGAUUUAAAAUAUAGAAAAGCACAUGGAUUUUAUUUUUAAAUGAUUUGUAUUUGUCACCUCAUUUUACUACUUCCAACUCCAACAUGUAAUAUUCAAGAGGUAAGUAGCAGAAAACAAGUGAGGGUAUGGUUAUGAGUCCACUCACUGUCUUGUGAUGAUUCAUCAAUCCGGAAAUCCUUCCUGCCUACAGGUUGAAAACAUGUGCUCUCUGGGGUGUAUAACCACCCAAACAGUAAUACUCGCCCGCAUAUGCUGGGGGAAGGGCAGGGUUGGGCGGGGAGUUAAGCCAUAGUUAUCUCCCUCAACUAAGAAGAAUUACAUCUGACUCUCAAAAUUUGGAGUCCCAAACCACCUCACCAGCCAAGAUGUUUUUAGUAAUAUGUGUACAAACAUGUUACUUAAGGUUGCUGGAAGUUUCCUUGAGACCUCUGCUUACUGGAAGAUGUACAUGUUAAUACCUGGGCCAGAGAAAAGCUCACAGCUAUGGGUAGAGCAGUGCUCUGCAUGGGGAUACAUUUUAACUAACUUGACAAUGUAGCACUGCGUAAUACUAAUAUAACACAGCUUCAAAUUCUUAAUAAAAUUACUUUCACACCAUUCAGAUAACUCAAUUUCUUGGUGAUGAAACUACUUAAAUUAACCAGAGACUACCCUUUUUUUAGGACACACAAAAACUGCAGUAACUAACUUAUAGUUGUCAGGAAUGUGCUUGUUUAUGAACCUGAGACUUUUAGAACUGUAAAUGAUGGAGGACAGCUUAUGACACUAUGUGUGCAGACCCUCAGAGCAGGCUCUGGCUUUGUUACCUAACUCCAGUACAAAACAAAAAUUGCAACAAAUUAAAAAAUGAGAAAAAGUACCUGUAUAAGGAGAAAACAUUUCUCUACCAUUGGCCCAUCGAAAGCAUUUUUUAUGGUUAGCCUGUUAUAACCCUAUAGUUUUAAUGUUUUAUUUUGCCAUAAUUUUAGAUGUAUAGAAUUUUAGAUGUAUAGAAAAGUUGUGAGGAUAUAUAAAGAAUUCCAUGAUACUCUACCCAGAUGCCUCAAGUGUUUACAUUUUAGUAAAUUUGCUUUAUUCUUCUUUCCUUCUCUGUUUUCUUUUCCUGAACCAUUUAUUAGUUAACUGCAGACAUGCCCUAAAUACUUCAGAAUGUAUUUCCUUAAAACAAGGAAUUCUCUUACAUAACCAUAGCACAAUUAUCUGAACAGAAAAUUAACAUUGGUACAAUACAGUAAUCAAAUCAACACCUGAGAUUCACCAAAUACCCAGUAAUGUCCUUUAUAGCAAACAACAACAAAACCAAUACCAAUCACAGCAUUCAGUUGUCAUAUCUCCUUAAAAAAGGAAUAUUCCUGAGUCUUUGUAUUUCAUGACAUUGACAUUUUUGAAGAAUACAGGCCAUUUUGUAGAACAUCCUCAAUUUGGGUUUGUCUAAUGUUUCCUCAGGCUUAGACUAAAGUUAUGUAAUUCAGGGCCGGAAUACCACAGACAGGAUGCUGAGUUCUUCUCCUUGUAUCACAUCACACUGUCAACUCAUUCCACUAAUGCAGUAAACUCUGACCAUUUGGUUAAGGGGGUGCCUGCCACCCAUCAGAGAGCACAGCCAGAUUUGUGUACUGUAAAGUUACUACUUUAAGUCAUUCAUAACUAUCUUCUGGGGAAAUCAUCUAGAUUAUGUUAACAUCAUAUUAUGACUUAAAUUUUCACCCAUUAGUUUUAGCAUGCACUGAUGAUGCAUUCCUGCAAUCUUAAAAGACCUUUUAAAUACCCAAGAAGUUGCUUUACUCAAGAAAAUGCAUUAAUUGAAAAUAUUUUAAAAACCAAAACUUAUAUCUGCCUGAUUUACUGCAAUCACUGCUUUAAAAAAUCAAACACUGUAAAUAACUGAUGAGAUCUCAUACAUGGUGCUAAAAAAUUCCAUCAUGCAUUUCUGGGAAAUCCUAUUAUCACUACAUGUUUUGUACGUUCUCUUAAUACCCCUGAAAACCUCUGGUUCAACUUUAGUUUUCUGUCAUGCUAAACUAAUACAAGUAACUUGGUAAAUGAAAUUCACAGGUAUUAAUGGGGUUUUCCUUCCUUUUUAAAAAAAAAUUGGUUUUGGGAGGAGAAAGGAGUAUCAAUUACAUCAGACCUUCUCAUUUUGAGUCUUUCUAGAUAAUGCCAAUAUUAUUUUUUACUGAGGCUGCUGGUUCCACUGAAAUCAGUGGGCCCGUGAUGAUACUCAAUUAAAGAUAUGCUGCAGGGGACUUCCCUGGUGGCACAGUGGUUGAGAGUCCGCCUGCC